Molecule: long non-coding RNA, 484 nt
Filed under: Marmota monax (woodchuck)
Lineage: Eukaryota; Metazoa; Chordata; Mammalia; Rodentia; Sciuridae
Source: RNAcentral
AGAAUUCACAGUGGAGAGAAACCCCAAACAAGAAGGUAAAUACUGUGGCCAAAUCUUUACUCAAAUUUCAAAUUUUCUUUAUCUUUAGAAACCUAGUACCUAUAGAAAAUGUGGAAAGACAUUUGCCUGACAUAUAUGCCUUAAAUAACAGCAAAAUAUCUAUCAUGAAGAAAACACCAUGAGAAAUAUAAAAAAUAUAGCAAAGCCUUUGUCUUUACCUCCUAUCUAGAUAGAUGUGUGUGUGAGAGGAAAAUGAGGAAUUGCCUUUAACUUUUGCUUAAAAUUUGUUAUACAUCCUUAGCUAAUGUAGGAAAAUAAAGAAAUUCUCACAAAUAUCAUAGAAUAGUGCAGAAAACUUGUCUCUGUAAGGAUACAAAUUCAUUAUAAACCAAAGAUUUUUCAAUAUUUUAACUUUUCAAAACUGGAGGAAAUAAUUCUUAGAUUCUUUUAUCGGAAGACUUGUUCCUGAGAGCUGUUAUUUUUG